UACGGAGGAGGCAAGCGUUAUCCGGAAUUAUUGGGCGUAAAGCGUCCGCAGGUGGCGAUUCAAGUCUGCGGUUAAAGACUGGGGCUUAACCCUGGAAAGGCCGUGGAAACUGAAACGCUAGAGUGCAGUAGGGGUAGAGGGAAUUCCCGGUGUAGCGGUGAAAUGCGUAGAGCUCGGGAAGGACAUCGGUGGCGAAAGCGCUCUGCUGGACUGCAACUGACACUCAGGGACGAAAGCUAGGGGAGCGAAUGGG
Molecule: ribosomal RNA, 253 nt
Filed under: uncultured bacterium
Lineage: Bacteria
Description: partial 16S ribosomal RNA
Rfam family: Bacterial small subunit ribosomal RNA
Source: RNAcentral